CAAUAGCGUAUAUUAAAGUUGUUGCAGUUAAAAAGCUCGUAGUUGGAUUUCUGGUCGGAAGCUCCUGUCCUCUGAUGAGCGUACAAGUGCGUCCUACCAUCCUUCUGUUAACCUUUAAGGCUUUCGCGGCUUUCUAGGGGCUCAGAUAUUUUACCUUGAGAAAAUUAGAGUGUUUCAGGCAGACUAGCGCCGGAAUACAUUAGCAUGGAAUAAUGGAAUAGGACUUUUGCCUCUUCUGUUGGUCAUGAGGCUCGAGUAAUGAUUAAUAGGGAUAGUUGGGGGCAUUAGUACUUAACUGUCAGAGGUGAAAUUCUCGGAUUUGUUAAAGACUAACUUAUGCGAAAGCAUUUGCCAAGGAUGUUUUCAUUAA
RNAcentral lists this ribosomal RNA (370 nucleotides) under uncultured eukaryote. Its description in RNAcentral is "partial 18S ribosomal RNA". It matches the Rfam family "Eukaryotic small subunit ribosomal RNA", at positions 592 to 976 of the family's 1831-position model. The record is from RNAcentral.